CCCCAUUUAAGAGCUGACUGCCACAGGGGAAGAUUUUCUUUCAGGAGAUCUCUCCCUUUGGAGUUUUUUUUACUGUAAGCCUAGGAUAUGGAUUUAGGUUUUCUUGUUCUGCUGAAUCCUUUAAUUAAAGCGCACCUAGGAAAGCUGGGAUGUCAGCAGAUGAUGUUUGUUGGAAGUGCUGCUGUGUGCUCACGAGAAUGCUGCAGAACUCGAGAGACAACGGAAUAUCCAUGUUUUCUGUUUAGCCUGGUGCUGAGAUCAAAGGAUCCAAAUGGUUGUGCGAGUGCGCUGCAGCUUCUGGAUAAAUUACUGAAAAUGUUAUUGUAAAAGUUAAACUGAUGUGACCCUUGUUUUCAUCAAUCUUAUAUUUAAUCUUUAUAUAGUGGCUUGUGUAGAAGGUUCUUGUACCGCUAUCCUUGAUACAAAGAUAGCACCAAUUAAAAUUCUACACUUGCAUAUAAUAAAGUGUGAUAUUUUUA
Molecule: long non-coding RNA, 479 nt
Organism: Lagopus muta (rock ptarmigan)
Lineage: Eukaryota; Metazoa; Chordata; Aves; Galliformes; Phasianidae
Exons: 3
Source: RefSeq, a predicted model, not a curated record